GUUUGAAAGAGUCUCCUUUAUAAAUGACAACUUUAAGAACAUGUAACACACUAAUAUGGGUUUUAGCAUUUGAUAUGGUCAACACAGAAACCAGAUGAAGGGAACAAACAGAAGCAAAAGGCAGAGUUUCCAACAACAGUUAAUCAUUGAUUACUCAGCUGGACAUAGAAAACAUCGUCACAAGUUUGGUUUUUCCUUCAAAAGUGUCACCAAAAAGCUAACUGAUGUUUUCUCUACACUUGUCUUUUGGCAGAACAAAGAGUUAAAGUCCAGAGAGGGAGGUCUCCUCAUCAAAAGGUAGUAACUCUUCCGGAAGCAAGAGGGGAAUUUUAUUGAAACCCCAACACUCUAAUUCCCAUAGAACUUCAAUGGCUACCAGGGAGCAGCUGGGUACAUUCGAGUUCUCGUUUGAUGAAAUUUGCCAGGCUACUGGAAAUGUUUCUGCUGUACACAAGAUUGGUGAAGGUGGGUUUGGGACAGUGUACAAGGGAAAGCUUAAGAAUGGAUUCCCUGUUGCUAUUAAGCGCGCUAAGAAGGCACUGCUUUGUAUUGAAUUUUGUUAUAUACAUUAGUCUUUAACCUUCUCUGAACAAGAGCAUAGCUUGUAUCUUCAGUCACAGUUUUAAUCAAUGCUCUCUAAAAUUCUGAGACUAACAGGUUAUGCUAGAUUGUGCUCAAAAUCUUUAUAAGAAAUCUUUUGUAGGAUUUGCGAGUGUUGGCAGAAUUCAAGAAUGAAGUCCAGGCAUUGUCGAAGAUUGAACAUCUAAAUCUUGUUAGAUUUUAUGGAUUUCUGGAGCUCAGAGAUGAGAGGAUUAUUAUUACUGAAUAUGUCAGCAAUGGAACACUUCGAGAACACUUGGAUGGUAAAAUGGAACUGAGUUUGAAGUUGCCGAGCGUUUGAGCAUUGCGAUUGAUGUAGCUCAUGCUAUUACCUAUCUACACUCGUACACAGAAAAAUUUCCAUGCUAAAGUAGCAGACUUCGGAUUUGCACGAUUAGCUACUGAUGAUCCCUGUGCUACACAUUUUUCUACAUAAAUAAAAGGGACUGCUGGCUAUUUAGAUCCUGAGUACUUGAGGACGUACCAGCUUACAGAAAAGAGUGAUGUCUACUACUUCGGUGUUUUGCUUGUGUAGAUGAUGACAGGAAGACAUCCCAUUGAAACAAAUCGAACCAUUGAUGAGACAGUGUCAAUAAAAUGGGCGAUGAGAAUAAUAAAACAUGGAGAUUCUGUAAUAGCAAUGGAUCCAAGAUUGCGAGCAAGCCCAUCAUCAAUUAUGGCUGUUGAAAAAGUACUGAAAUUAGCUAGACAAUGCCUUGCACCUUUCAGAUUGGCGAGACCACCAAUGAAAAAAUGUGCAGAGGUACUAUGGGGAAUUCGAACACAGUUCGUAGAGAAAAGUAUCCCAAAAACUUCAACCUCUAGCCACUCUACAAACUUUCUGGGCAGAAACGCAAAAAGGGAUUGGGAGGACUUAUACAUAGUUAACUAUAGCAAGAACUAUAAAUUUGCUUCAACUUGACAGACUUUUACGCGAAGUGCAUGUAUAACGGUGCAUAAGGUAUGAAUUAUCGUCAAAUUAGGCUACUGGUUCGCUGCAGGCAUACUAGAUGACCUAUAUUUUCUUUCUUUUGAGUUUAACAUGUGGUGCACCCAAAAGAUGUGCAUUCACCUCCAUUAAAUAGGAGGCAACACUCGAAGGGUGAAUCAAGGCAAUCUCAUGACUUGAUCAUACUGCACUCAAACAAUUCUCCCAAGACCCAACCGUAAUUUGAGCUGAAAGUUCCUCCCACUUUGCUGUGCAUACUCAGAAAUUACCACGUGAGUGCAAAUAUCCCAAGUCCUUCCUAUGUCUUUUACGAACAUUGGUUGUGAAAGAUUUCUGAGAGAGACACUAAGCCUUGAUUUGUCCUUCAUGGAUCGAUCUUCGCAGUCUUUACUGCAACAGAAAAUAGUUAGAAAAUCUAGUUUUAAAAUGAUUCACUUAAUUGCAAAUACUAGAUUGUCAAAACUCCAGUAACAGAGUGUACAAUGUACAGAAAUAAGGGGAAAUGACAUGGAACCAGGGAUAUCAGAUCAAGAGAACACACGAAGGGAAUAUGUAUUCAAGGAACCCGAUCCACCUGACAUGAGAGAAUUCACAAAUAUUAUCAGUAGAGUUCUCUCUGAAGAACUCCUACCCAUGGACAAAUAUGGUUAAGGAUGACAUCAUGACAGAUACUCUCAUGGAGUGCAGGGAUAUAAGUAUAUCAUCCUUCUCAAAUCAUGAAGUAGUCAGAGGUCAAGAGAAGAAUGACCAUAACCUCAAACUAGUGCCGGCAAAAUGAGCUCAUAUUUUGUUGACUGGGUUGGGGGAAUGAUUUUUAUAUGGGUAAAAUAUGUAUUGAUACCCAUAUUUGACCCAUAAAAAUAUGGAUAAAAUAUGAAUUAGUCAAAUGGGUUAAGCUUCAAACUUUUAUUCACUUAAAAUUCAUGAUUGUUAACUCCUUCAAUGUAGAUUCUAGAUUCACGAAUUGAGAGGAAAAGGAAAACAAACAAUGUAAAGUGAACUGUAAUUUGUAUU
This is a non-coding RNA of Solanum lycopersicum (tomato), 2563 nucleotides long. Lineage: Eukaryota; Viridiplantae; Streptophyta; Magnoliopsida; Solanales; Solanaceae. The record is from RefSeq and is a predicted model, not a curated record.